Molecule: non-coding RNA, 781 nt
Organism: Monodelphis domestica (gray short-tailed opossum)
Lineage: Eukaryota; Metazoa; Chordata; Mammalia; Didelphimorphia; Didelphidae
Source: RefSeq, a predicted model, not a curated record
AGCUAUAGUCUCCGGUAGCUAGCGGGCUGGCAUGCCCUCUUUUUUUGCGAAGGAUGACGAGUGGAAUUGUGCUGUGCUUUGCAGUAGUAGAAUCUAUAAACUGGAGUGUUUCUGCAAAUUCUAAGAGGUUCUUAACAUUAUCCAGGAUAUUGCCUUGGUGAACAAUCAUGCACCUUGCUGGGGAUGCACUUUCUUCAGAUAGUACUACAGCUUACACCAAUGCAAUGAAGAGGCUGUCAAAUCAACGUGGUUAGGAAAGCAGAAGAGCAAAUUAACAGAAGUUUCUGUCCAGUGGGAUCAUGCAACAGAAGAAAUUGCAAAAUAUUAACUAAAGUUAAAAGUGGUCAGACUAACAUCAUGCAUAUAAUAAUUUGAUUAAACCAAAAAAAUGUAUUCAUAAAAGUAUCUGCUGGCUAUCACUUUUCUUCUUUAUUUCAUUUAUUUUUUUUGUUUAGCUAUUACAGAGGACAGACUGCUUUGCUAAUUUUACUAUCUAAUCACUACAAAAUAUGUCAGAAUUCAGUAAUAGCCAGCACUGGUUUUAUGCAUGCAAUUAAAAGAGCUAACAUUAUUCAUAGAGAAAUAAAAAAAAUACAUGUGUACUGUAUAUGUAAUAUGAAUGUUGAACAUGCACCAAGUCAAGUCUGAAAUUAUGAGGUAUAUAAUAUACAGGUAAAAGAGGGUCUGAAAAGAGAAGAAAAACAAUCUAACAAAUAGGCACCACAUUUUCAUUACAAGAAAUAUUGCUUUUUAAAAAAAAUUCUGAUUUCAAUCAGUGUUA